GAUGAACGCUGGCGGCGUGCCUAAUACAUGCAAGUAGAACGCUGAAGCUUGGUGCUUGCACCGAGCGGAUGAGUUGCGAACGGGUGAGUAACGCGUAGGUAACCUGCCUCUUAGCGGGGGAUAACUAUUGGAAACGAUAGCUAAUACCGCAUAAAAGUCGAUAUCGCAUGAUGUUGAUUUGAAAGGUGCAAUUGCAUCACUAAGAGAUGGACCUGCGUUGUAUUAGCUAGUUGGUGAGGUAACGGCUCAC
This 250-nucleotide ribosomal RNA is filed under the name uncultured bacterium. RNAcentral describes it as "partial 16S ribosomal RNA". It matches the Rfam family "Bacterial small subunit ribosomal RNA", at positions 28 to 268 of the family's 1533-position model. The record is from RNAcentral.